This 242-nucleotide ribosomal RNA is filed under the name uncultured bacterium. RNAcentral describes it as "partial 16S ribosomal RNA". It matches the Rfam family "Bacterial small subunit ribosomal RNA", at positions 87 to 334 of the family's 1533-position model. The record is from RNAcentral.
GCCGGCGAGCGGCGGACGGGUGAGUAAUGUCUGGGAAACUGCCCGAUGGAGGGGAUAACUACUGGAAACGUGGCUAAUACCGCAUAACGUCUACGGACCAAGUGGGGGACCUUCGGGGCCUCACACCAUCGGAUGUGCCCAGAUGGGAUUAGCUAGUAGGUGGGGUAAUGGCUCACCUAGGCGACGAUCCCUAGCUGGUCUGAGAGGAUGACCAGCCACACUGGAACUGAGACACGGCCCAG